GCCUUUAGUGUUUUAUGUUGUGUCUUGUGUACUGAUAUUUGUCUGUUUGUCUUUUUCUUUUUAGCCAUGUCGUUAUCAGUUUAUUUUUCAAUCUUUGAGUUUGGUUGUCCAUCUGGUAUCUUUCGUCCCUCUUAUCCAAGUCAGCUUAUUCUUAUGUGGUCCUUAGUUUCCUAUCCUUCAUAUUUGGGUGGUCUCUUUUAAAACCUACCACCCUUUUUUCUGUGAACUAUUUAACUACCGUAUUUAUGAUUUGUAUACCUGGUUACUGAUGACUAAAUGGAUUCAAUUUUGAC
Molecule: long non-coding RNA, 293 nt
Filed under: Mytilus galloprovincialis (Mediterranean mussel)
Lineage: Eukaryota; Metazoa; Mollusca; Bivalvia; Mytilida; Mytilidae
Source: RNAcentral